This 390-nucleotide unclassified non-coding RNA is filed under the name soil metagenome. RNAcentral's name for it is "partial contains 5.8S ribosomal RNA, internal transcribed spacer 2, and large subunit ribosomal RNA". The stretch from base 1 to 122 matches the Rfam family "5.8S ribosomal RNA", at positions 35 to 154 of the family's 154-position model. The record is from RNAcentral.
GAUGAAGAACGUAGCGAAAUGCGAUACUUGGUGUGAAUUGCAGAAUCCCGUGAACCAUCGAGUCUUUGAACGCAAGUUGCGCCCGAAGCCAUUAGGCCGAGGGCACGCCUGCCUGGGCGUCACACGUCGUUGCCCCCCCAUCUACUCCUUCGGGAUUGCGGGGGGCGGAUGAUGGCCUCCCGUGCGCCUCGUCGCGCGGUUGGCAUAAAUACCAAGUCCUCGGCGACGCACGCCACGACAAUCGGUGGUUGCGAAACCUCGGUUGCCCGUCGUGUGCGGUCGUCGCGCAUCGAGGGCUCGAAAAAAUUGCCGGGCUCCGGCUCGGCUUUCAACGCGACCCCAGGUCAGGCGGGGUUACCCGCUGAAUUUAAGCAUAUCAAUAAGCGGAGA